UAUUUGCAUUUUGAAAACGCUUCACGCUCAAAUGUUCAAACUUCACUUUAAAAAGAGACCUUGAGAAGUUUAUCGACGAGGGCAUCGAUAAAUGGGUGAAUCUUUUGAUACACAUUGAAAGUUAUUAAUCAAAGGUGUAUUUUGAUGCGAACUCAAAUGGGUUAUUUUAGCACUAGCAGCCUCGACAGUACAGGCUAUUUAAAUGUUUUGGUUUCAAAAAGAAGAGGAGAAAUCAACAAAAAAAACAAAAAAGAGGGGGCGGCAUUGUCUCGAACUCAACCCACUAUAAUUGUACCAGCUCUCAGUCUGCAUAGCACUUUAAUCGCCUGUACUAACACAACAACAUAUAUAAAAGCGACUUUUUUGUGACUGGAAUACUUGUAUCGGCACGAACAAUGAGUGGCUAAUGUGAUGCUUUGUUGAUUUCAUUGUCCAGCAAAACAAAAGCUUUCUUUUGUUUUGCAUUCAACAGAAAGAUGCCACUAGGAAAAGUGCCUUUUUUGCAUACGUUAUUUCUCAAAAACAAAGAGCAACCCAGCGAAAAAUAAAUUACAAGGCAAUGUUUUUAAGCUGAAAUGAAGUCCACAUGCAAAAAUUCAGCUAAUUUGGAGCAAAAAAAGCAACCAAAUUUGUCACUCCUCGCCUUUUAUGACUAGCUUCUUCAAAUGAAGUUUAUAGAUUGUACCUGUGUACCUUGACGUUAUUCAGAGGUGGAGUUAUUUUGUGAAUGUGUUCACUAAAGUACUUAAAGUACUUGUACAGGUGUAAAGAACAAUGCAAUAAGGUCUACCCAUCUACCAUGUAAUUGGCAUGCAAUCAUGCAGGUGUCCAAUUACAUGUAUCCAAAUUACAACCUUUUGUAAUUGGAUACUUAAGCCAUUCACAGAUCAAUAAUUAUUAUGCAUGCUUUAAUGGUUGAAUGUCAGAUGGCAUCCAUUUUGAAAGCAGAAUAUAUUUUCCUUGUGCAGGAACAAUUGCAUUAAUAUUCAUGCAUUAUCAAGUCCAACUGGGUCUUUCCCAGGUUCCACAUGGUUCAUUGAUCAACAGAACAGAAAUUUGAGCAGUAUCAAUUUCUGUUUUGUUGCUCCAAUUUCUGUUGCAUGGUGUUCAUGAUGUUUUAAAUUCCAUUCUGCUUGUGUAAUUUCAAAUCUCUCAUCAUAAAUUCUAUUCUGUUUGUUCAAUUUUCAGCAAAGAAUUUAUAAACUACAUGCAGGUUCCAUAUAACAGAAUUUGAAACAGGAUUUUGGUGGCGAUGACCGCUCAUAAGGAUCAACAUGAUUCUCCAAUUGUUAAUGUCUUAAAUGAGAAAACUUCAAGAUGGAUUUCUGAGGUAUUGUACGUUAUGAAUGUUGCUACUAUUCAAUAACUGCUUGGCAAGAAUAAUUGCUACAGUUUGCUUUUUUGAUAUUGUUCUGAAUUAUUCAGGGAUCUCUCAACAAAGCUAUGAAUAACAACAAUGGUAAUCAGCAUAUACUCAAAAUAAGGAAGAUCACACCAAUGAAAGUGGCACAAUAUCCAAAAUGUUGUUGCAAUAAUUUUUCGUGUUGAAAAGGCAAGUCUGGGUUUAUUCUUGACUGCUCAAAAAAUGACUGUUGACUUGUUUGUCAGAGUGGUCAAUAUUGCUGCAAAAGUAACGAUCCCAUGUUGUGCUCAGAAAGAAGGUACUGGCAAAAGGGCUGGCCUUUGCAAAGUCCAAGAUUGCUCUUUGAUGUUAAAAGCUACUACAAAAGACGACUGCAAAUUUUGUGGACACCAAUGACCAACAUUCUGAAAACAGUAAAGAGGAUUCUGACUUGAGUGAGGUGGAGUGGGAUGACAGUAGGGUGGAUAAGCCUGAUAGCAUAUUAGCAGAGCCCUCGUUGAAAGUUAAGGCGGGGUUUCACCUGAAUUUUGUGAAAAAAUGAAUUUUUGUUUUUUCUCAAAAUUGCAACUUUGACUAUUUAACAUUGGGAAAGGACUUUUUCGUUUUUCUUACCAUUUUGCGGUAAAUUAACAGUCGAUUUAAAAGAGGUGAAAAUCUGGGGAUGUGUUACCAUGGCCACGAUAAUAGCAUUUUUUGUUUUUCUUGGCUGUUUAUGGCCUUUUCUGACUGAUUUCUCGAGGAAACAGAAUGAGGUACUUGGUGACACAUACAUGACGGAACAUACUGCGAAUUGCACCCUGGAAUAUAUUUAAUAUUGAAACCGAAGGUUGAGAUCACUUUUUGAAAUACGUGUGUUCAAGAGUAGUGAAAAUAUUGUUGUAAAUGGCUGGGAAAAGGCAAAGAAGCCUCUACAGACCAAAAAGGGAAGGAAAAGGAUUUGGUGGGUGUAAAAAAGGGAAAAAUUUGGGGAAAAAAAAAGCAUCAGAAGAAGUAGAAAUCGAUCGAGCAAAACCGAGGACCUCUCACGAGGGAGCUGACGCUUCAGACUCUGAGGACUCUGAUCAAGCACUCAGUUCAUUGAUGAAGAAGAUGAAGCUGUUCCAUUCAACAGAAGAAUCACUGAAUAGCUCGGAUGAAGAAUCAACUGGGCAAUGCGAAGCAACUGGCUACAGACUAAUUGAUUUGCAAAGUCUAUCUUCAGUGCUCUCUGCAGCACACAAAUGCGAAGAAGGUGAAAAAAUUACCUUGACAGAUUUUACCAAACCAUUUGAUUGUUCUUCUGGGCUGAAAAACAAACCGAUUUCAGUGUAUAAUUUAACUUUGUGAUUUUGUCGCUUUGAUUUUGUUGUUUGUGCUUAAAUAUUUUGGCACUUGUAUUUCUGUAUUUAUUGAACUAGGAAUUUUGUUUUCAAAUGACAUGCAACAGAUGCCACACUAGACAUUUCAAAUAAACAGUGUCUUAUACUGUAUGUCUUUUUGUUUCUUCAAGAAACUGAAAGUGGUCAGGCAAGGUUAAAGUCUGACCUUCUCCUCAUUUGCAGUGCUUGUGACGAAAGCACUUCACUCCAGACAUCUGCCAACAUCACAAAAAGGGGAAAGUCCAUCGAUGUAAACAAAAGAGCUGUUUUCCACUCUCUGGAAUCGGGGACUGGUUAUGAAGGGCUUGGAUCCUUCUGUGGAAUCAUGAACAUGCCUUGUAUGUCGACAAGUGCCUACUACAAACAGGUAGACCGCAUCCUAGGCAUUGCACAAGAUUACACAAUGGAAGAGCUCAAAAGUGCAGGUCAGAGGCUACGAAACAUCAUCCUUGAUGAAAAUUCGGAGCUUGACAUUAAUGAGACUUUGGAUGCAGCUGUUAGCUUUGAUGGCACCUCAGCCAAGCAAGGCUUUACCUCUAACAAUCUCAGUAGACAGUGGUGAGGUUUUGGACUACGCUGUCUUGUCAAAAGCUUGCCAAAAGUGUGCUCGCAAAGAGUCACAGUUUGAAGGGGAAGACGAGAGCUUUCAGGAGUGGAGGAGAGAACAUGUGGCCUCUGGUGAGUGCGAUAUUAAUUUUAAUGGUAGCUCACCAGCCAUGGAAGCUGAAGGAGCUUCUAUCCUUUGGAGAAGAUCCACUGAAAUGCAUAACAUGAGAUACAAGUGGAUGGUCUCAGACGGGGACAGCAAAGCAUUCAACACUGUCAAGAAUGGUGAUUAAGUUGGAUUGUGUUGGCCAUGUCCAAAAGAGGAUGGGCAAACACCUUUUAAACUUGAAAGCAUGGACAAAAGGCAAACUGGAGGAUGGCAAACCCAUACAGGGGCAUGGCAGGCUCACUGAAACCAAAAUUAAGAAGCUACAAAAAUAUUAUGGCCUCACAAUACAUCAAAAUACUCUAAAAAAAGUCCAAUCCAACUGACAGAGAAGUUGAUGUUGCCAUCUAUACCAUGAAGAAGAAUAUCAUAGCAACUCUUAACCACAGUGUUAAGGGACAGGAUCCUGCUAAACAGCACCACUUCUGUCCUGUUGGAGAAACUUCAUGGUGUAAGUGGCAACAGGAUCAGGCAACAGGGACAAGCACCUACAGAGAUGAUGAGUGUUUGCCUGAGGCAUUUCUUGAACUUGUAAGGCCAUCAUUCAUGACACUGAGUGAUACAAAACUUCUCAAGAGAUGCAUUCGUGGGACCACUCAAAAUGUAAAUGAAUGUAUCAACUCUAUGGUUUGGGUGCGUUGCUCCAAGCAUAAGCAUCAUGGUGCUAAGGUCAUUCAAUACUCUGCUGCCUCAGCUGUUUGCCACUUCCACAAGGGAGCAGAAUGUACAAAGGACAUCAUGGAUAAACUUUCAAUUUCUGGUGGGACACACACCAGCCAUGCCUUCAGGCUAAAGGAUAACUAGCGUUUGCAGAAAGCAGACAACCAAGCUACGGCCAAGGAAAAGAAGCGCCGCCAGGCAGUCCACCUUGUUCGCACACGACGAGAAGAAGUCCUUCAGGACCUUGAAGGAAUUACUUAUGAGGCUGGGGGAUUCUGAUUGGUUACCUGUUGCCUCUAGAAACUAAAUCUGACUAGUUUUCCAACCAUUGUUUUUGUUCAAGAUUCAUCAUAAUAUAUAAUCUGUUAUAAACUUUACGUCUGUUUUCUCAAAACGACAGAUUUUCACCUUUGAGAAAAGAUAUCUAAAGAAGGAUUUAAGCUAUUGACCUGAAAUUUUCAGGACAGUUGGUGCUCAUUUAAUAAAUUGAUAUAAAUGAAGGAAUUUUCCAAAGGCUUGCUGGGGAAAAAAUGACCAAUUAAUAUUCACCUAGUUUUUCAGCAUGUAACUUGAGAUGGUUCCUUUGAUGUGUGAUGUUAUAAUUUUGUAAAAUCCUUCAUUCAUAUCAACAAUUAGUUCUUAUUCUUUGAAAUGACAUAAAAAGUUUAUUUUCUAUCAAAUUUAUAAAGAGAAAUCCAUGGGUUUUGCACUGCAGGUGGUACUUUUGACAGCCUGGUGUCAAGUUACUUUUGCUGUUACGCAAAAACAGCCAUUUUUAGAAUCUUUGGUUUGUAAGCUUUCCAGUGAUAUAUAGUUUGCCAUGGUUUGGAUUAAAACUGUUAGAGCUACUGAAGAUACAAAAAGUGUGCUUUUUUCAGGUGAAACCCUUCCUUAUACCAGUUCUCUCUUUUGAUGGUGAUAUGACUACUUGGAUAUUCCUGGCAGAAUUCAAGUCAAGCAACAAUGGCUGUAGUGGUAGCAGUGCUUGCAGUGAUAUUUCCCUGGCUGUGGCUCACACGUUUUUAACUUUAGCCAUUCAUUUUCUGCUUGGAAGCCACCUGUCCCUCUGUUGGACCAAGCUUUUGUGUUUUGCCACAGCACUAUUUGAAUGCCAUAGAAGGUGCUGAAUUGUUCUGCAGUUAUGACCCUGUCAGAGUUGGACAGCCAUACCCUGUAAGAAUGUAAGACCAGCAUCCCUUUUCCACCAUCGAGCAGCAACUUCAUGUCAGAAGAACAAAAAAAAACAGUGCGGCACUAUUUAUUCAUGAUGAAAAGGCUGUUGCUUUUCAGUUUGUCCAAGAUAGCACUAUCUAAGCUAGCAUAUGGUACAGCUAUUACAGUUGCUAAUAGCUUAACUUGUCUGUGUCAUGCAGUUUUAGCAAAUUUACUCUUGUAGAAAGUUAGCAAUUCAAUUUAGGUUGUUUGAGUUGUCUAGCAGGCUUUCUAACUCCACUGGAUAAGAUGUUGGUCUAUCGCUAACAUCUGUGUCCUCCCCUUCCACACUAUGCCAAGUUGCCCUGCAAAAUUUUUUGUGGUAAAACGGUAAAUUACUGUUAAUUUUGAAACAACAUAGGUUAAGUUAACUUAAAUUAAUCUUAUGCUAUAGAAUACAAUUAAAAAAUAAAAACAAGUGACCACAUCUUUUUGUUUUGCUUGUUUUUACUAUGUACCAUGCAUUGAGCAUAGUUCCAUGGCUGUAUCCUUUGCCAUCAAGCCAAAGUGCCAAGGCAAGUGUUAAGUCAAGAUUUUAAUCCUAUAAGGCCUAAGAAUGUGAAUUUACACUCCAUUGUAAAAGCUCUGAAAUCGGAAAAGUGCAAAUCAGCACUCUUUCAGAUACCAUCUUUUAUUGUUGCUCAAUGGUUACCAAGCACUAUCACCCAAUCAGAUGAAGUGUCAGAUUGAGUCUUGCCAGGCUAAUGGAAUGGGUUUUAUACAAAAUAUGUGACAAAUCUGACUUUGUUCACAUCAGUUACUAUUUUUUACUACUUUUAUUUACUCUAUUACUAUUUCAAUCUGCGAAAUGGCAGCUGUAGAUACUCUGAUGAAUCGGACUUUCAAGACGAAGAAGGAGACAAUAGUGGCAGUAAAAGCGACAGUUUCAUUUCAAAUGUAAAUACUGAUGAUCUUUCUCGGAAGAUGAAGGCAAUGAAGACAGGUGGAGUCGCGAUCCAGCACCAGUAAACACAACUCCUUUCGUAUCAAGAACGGGAGCUGUUAGUAGUAUUCCAGUAGACAGCACUGCAAAAGGCUUUUUCAACCCUUUUGUCUCUGAUGAAGUGUCUGAGGCCUUUGUGGAAGAAACCAAUCGAUACACGAGGCUAUGCAUUGCGCAUAAACCAAAUCAAAGAUUGCAAGAAACUAACAUGGAACAAAUUAAGCUCACUUCGGGCCCAACAUUCUGUUUCGUAUCAAGAAGCUUCCUGAUAUUGACUUGUAUUGGUCAAAGGAUGCAGCUGUUGGUGUUCCUUCUGUGCAAGAAGUAAUGCAUAGAGUAAUUCAUAUCAAUGACAAUGAAAAGGCUGCUCAACACAGACACCUUGACCAUGACUAGCUAUUCAAAACUGGUCCUUUGUUUGAGGCUAUCAACAAAAAGUUCUUGAAGAAUAUCAACCAUUACAAAACCUCGAUGAAGCAACGGUCGUAUAAAUACACGCCAACUCAUGUCUAUCUCUCACUUUAAAGGGGAACUAGCAACGAAACAAUAUCUCCCCAUCAAUCCCGAGAAAAGGGGAAUUAAAGUGUGGUUGUGUGGUGACGUGUCAAAUGUUUUUUAUUUUAUAAGUACCGAGAUUUAUCCAGAGAUGACAGUGAUGAAAAAUUGUUCUGUCUUUAGUCGCAGCCAAUCAGCGACGCGAUUUCACUAAUGAAAAAUCAUUGUUCGCAGCAUCUGAUUGGACGAAUGAUGUUUUUCACUAGUGAAAAGUGAUCAUACGGCAAGCCACGUCAUCCUUGGCACAAAAGCUGGCAAGCCACCUUUUUAUUUUCAAGAUGUCGUAAAGGUUUGUGGACGUCAGUUCAGUUGACAAUUUUAUUACAGAACAAGAAAACAAAGCCACAUUACAAAAAACACAAUGAGUUGCAAAACUUUUGCAAACCUUUUUAGGAACCAGGAACGAACUUAGAAAAGUUGAAGAAAUUCCAGCAUUGGAGUUAAACGAAUACAUCUGCAAGUGUAUCAUUUCGAUCAGAACCAAAGAUGGGAAAGACUAUGAGCCUUCUUCACUCCGAAGUCUAUUGGCAAGUUUUGAACGACAUCUAAAAAAGAACAGCU
Orbicella faveolata is the source of this 7364-nucleotide non-coding RNA. NCBI's taxonomy places the organism in Eukaryota, Metazoa, Cnidaria, Anthozoa, Scleractinia, Merulinidae. The record is from RefSeq and is a predicted model, not a curated record.